Molecule: long non-coding RNA, 757 nt
Filed under: Mytilus galloprovincialis (Mediterranean mussel)
Lineage: Eukaryota; Metazoa; Mollusca; Bivalvia; Mytilida; Mytilidae
Source: RNAcentral
AUGAUAAUAUUAUUAGGUCUUUCCACCUUUCGUGUGGAAAGACCUAUUGAUUUUGUUCUGAUUAUUUUUUUUUUCUUCCGCCUAAUUUUUUUCUUGCGGUGUAAAAAUGUUUCAAAAGAUGUCGCUUAGUUUUUUUGUAUAUGAGAUCAUACAGUCUAUACGCUUUUGAAACUCACCCUGUUUAACCGAACACUUUUCUUUGUAAGAGUUAUCUCCCCAAACACUGUUUUUCUUGUUAUCAGAUCUCCUCCGCAACCGUAAAAGAAAGCGACAAAUUUAUUUUUCCAAAUUGCUCGUUAUAUCCUCAGGAUGUUACGUUUCAUUUUGACCGAAGCUUUACGAAGACCCCAUAUGAGAGUAAUUUCCCCUUUUGUAUUGAAAUAAGUGAAAUAAAUUUGUAACUGGAAAACCAUAAGUGAUAGAGGCCUAAGGUCUUUUGAUUUGAGGCCCUUGCUCAAAAAGUAUGAAAAUGAGGUCAAGGUCAAAGGUCAAGGUCAUGUUCAAAUUUUUGAUUUUGGCUUGUUAUCUCUUAUUUUCAGAAAUCAUACAAGAUAUCGACAAAAUAUUUUCACACAAUUGUUAGUUGCGACAUGUCGUAACAUGUAAAUUUUACUUAAAAGGGUACGUAACAUUUAAUGCGAGUUUUGCCCCUUUUUAUCUAAUAUUAGUUGUAUGGUAAUAUAACUCAUUAACAAUAUAAAGUAGAGGCCUAGAGUCUUUUGAUUUGAGGUCCUUGGUUGAUGACCUUGAAAUUGAG